GAUGAACGCUGGCGGCGUGCUUAACACAUGCAAGUCGAACGAAGCAUUUGCGACAGAUUUUUUCGGAAUGAAGUUCUUAUGACUGAGUGGCGGACGGGUGAGUAACGCGUGGGUAACCUGCCUUGUACUGGGGGAUAGCAGCUGGAAACGGCUGGUAAUACCGCAUAAGCGCACAAUGUUGCAUGACAUGGUGUGAAAAACUCCGGUGGUAUAAGAUGGACCCGCGUCUGAUUAGCUAGUUGGUGAGAUAACAGCCCACCAAGGCGACGAUCAGUAGCCGACCUGAGAGGGUGACCGGCCACAUUGGGACUGAGACACGGCCCAGACUCCUACGGGAGGCAGCAGUGGGGAAUAUUGCACAAUGGAGGAAACUCUGAUGCAGCGACGCCGCGUGAGUGAAGAAGUAAUUCGUUAUGUAAAGCUCUAUCAGCAGGGAAGAUAGUGACGGUACCUGACUAAGAAGCUCCGGCUAAAUACGUG
Molecule: ribosomal RNA, 480 nt
Filed under: uncultured bacterium
Lineage: Bacteria
Description: partial 16S ribosomal RNA
Rfam family: Bacterial small subunit ribosomal RNA
Source: RNAcentral